CAGAGACAGGUACUAGUGAUUCCACUGGGCGCUAUAGGCAGGGCGCACUCACCGAACUCCCCAAUCCCUUCCAGCCUCAGGGCCCGCCUGGCAGGACUACUGAGCAAGGCCUUGGAAAAUCGGAGCGAUUAGAGCGAAGUGCUUCGGUCAGGCAGUAUCUUUGAAAAUAAUUUGGCCAAUGAAAGCCCUGGCAUUGGAUGAAAGUGCUAGCUGCUGGGAAUGCUACCCCUCCUUUUGGUUCUCUUUCAAGUCCUUCAGGUUCAAACAAUACAGAAGUGUAUAAAGUAAGAAUUGAAAGUCUCUUCGCUGCUCUAAUCUCACUCCUCAGAGGUGAUCACUGUGUGGAAGAUGAUCAAAGUAUGACGUUUCUUCUACCCCAGAGGUUGGCAUUUCUGCAGGCACAAAUGAGCUUGGUUUUCAAGCACCAGUCUUUGAGCACAAGGAAUUCCUUUAAUGAUCACGGGCUAGAUAGACUUUGGAAUCAGACUCUUUGAAUUCCAGCUCUGCCAUUUACCAACUUUGACACUUUGGAUAGGGUCUCAUUCUGUCAGCCAGGCUGGAGUGCAGUGGCACUAUUAUAGCUCACUGCAGCCUCAAAUGCCUGGGCUCAGGCAGUCUUCCCACCUCUGCCUCCUGAGUAGUUGGGACUACAGGCAUGUGCCACCAAGCCCAGCCAAUUUUUCAGUUUUAAAUUUUUUGUAGAGAUGGGGGUCUUGCUAUGUCACCCAGGCUGGUCUUGAACACCUGGCCUCAAGUGAUCCUCCGGCCUCGCUCUCUCAAAGCUCUGGGAUUACAGACAUGAGCCACUGCACCUGGCUCUGUCUCCCCUUCCUAUGUGUGUUGGCUCUAGAACAAGAGAAGCCUUGUUGAGAUUCAUGGCUGCCCCUUGCACCCCAUCACCUCUCUGACUUUGGGCAAGUUGCCUGGUCUCUCUCAGCCUUUAUUUUCUUUUUGUGAAAUGGGGAUAAUAAUAGUACUUGCCUCAUAGGCAAAAUGUUGUGAGAACUAAAUGAGAAAAUACAUGUAAAGCUCUUGGCACUUAGGUCUUUUUAUGAUUAUGAUGAUAAUCACACAUAAUAAAUUAUUUCUCACA
RNAcentral lists this long non-coding RNA (1093 nucleotides) under Pan troglodytes (chimpanzee). Its description in RNAcentral is "lincRNA". The record is from RNAcentral. Lineage: Eukaryota; Metazoa; Chordata; Mammalia; Primates; Hominidae.